GUGCUCACUUCAGCAGUACAUACACUAAAAUUUGAAUGAUACAGAGAAGAUUAGCAUGGCUCCUGUGCAAAUUUUUGAAGCGUCCCAUAUUUUU
Small nuclear RNA from Rhinopithecus bieti (black snub-nosed monkey), 94 nucleotides. Lineage: Eukaryota; Metazoa; Chordata; Mammalia; Primates; Cercopithecidae. The record is from Ensembl.